Molecule: ribosomal RNA, 220 nt
Filed under: uncultured bacterium
Lineage: Bacteria
Description: partial 16S ribosomal RNA
Rfam family: Bacterial small subunit ribosomal RNA
Source: RNAcentral
GCAAGUCGAGCGCUCUCUUCGGAGGGAGCGGCGGACGGGUUAGUAACGCGUGGGAAUGUACCCUUCUCUAUGGAAUAGCCAUUGGAAACGAUGAGUAAUACCUUAUACGCCCUUCGGGGGAAAGAUUUAUCGGAAUUGGAUUAGCCCGCGUUAGAUUAGAUAGUUGGUGGGGUAAUGGCCUACCAAGCCUACGAUCCAUAGCUGGUUUGAGAGGAUGAUC